This 440-nucleotide ribosomal RNA is filed under the name uncultured bacterium. Its description in RNAcentral is "partial 16S ribosomal RNA". It matches the Rfam family "Bacterial small subunit ribosomal RNA", at positions 339 to 795 of the family's 1533-position model. The record is from RNAcentral.
CUACGGGGUGCUGCAGUGAGGAAUAUUGCACAAUGGGGGGAACCCUGAUGCAGCAACGCCGCGUGGAGGAUGACGCAUUUCGGUGUGUAAACUCCUUUUAUAUGUCAAGAAAAUGACGGUAGCAUAUGAAUAAGCACCGGCUAACUCCGUACCAGCGAGCCGCGGUAAUACGGAGGGUGCAAGCGUUACUCGGAAUCACUGGGCGUAAAGGACGCGUAGGCGGGUUGGAAAGUCAGGUGUGAAAUCCUACAGCUUAACUGUAGAACUGCACUUGAAACUUCUAAUCUAGAGUAUGGGAGGGGGAGAUGGAAUUAGUGGUGUAGGGGUAAAAUCCGUAGAUAUCACUAGGAAUACCUAAAGCGAAGGCGAUCUCCUGGAACAUUACUGACGCUAAGGCGUGAAAGCGUGGGGAGCAAACAGGAUUAGAUACCCUCGUAGUC